GCCCCGUUAGCUCAGUGGUAGAGCGUGUCACUCGUAAUGACAAGGUCCAUGGUUCAAUCCCGUGUCGGGGCU
Non-coding RNA from Fusarium tricinctum, 72 nucleotides. The record is from the annotation of a GenBank genome assembly. Lineage: Eukaryota; Fungi; Ascomycota; Sordariomycetes; Hypocreales; Nectriaceae.